This 289-nucleotide ribosomal RNA is filed under the name uncultured Gammaproteobacteria bacterium. RNAcentral describes it as "partial 16S ribosomal RNA". The record is from RNAcentral. Lineage: Bacteria; Pseudomonadati; Pseudomonadota; Gammaproteobacteria.
CUACACGGGUAUCUAAUCCUGUUUGCUCCCCACGCUUUCGCACCUCAGCGUCAGUAUUAAUCCAGAAAGCCGCCUUCGCCACUGAUGUUCCUCCACAUAUCUACGCAUUUCACCGCUACAUGUGGAAUUCCGCUUUCCUCUAUCAUACUCUAGCUCGACAGUAUCGAAUGGCAUUCCCAGGUUGAGCCCAGGGCUUUCACACCCGACUUAUCGAACCGCCUACGCGCGCUUUACGCCCAGUAAUUCCGAUUAACGCUUGCACCCUCUGUAUUACCGCGGCUGCUGGCAC